RNAcentral lists this ribosomal RNA (460 nucleotides) under uncultured bacterium. Its description in RNAcentral is "partial 16S ribosomal RNA". It matches the Rfam family "Bacterial small subunit ribosomal RNA", at positions 338 to 795 of the family's 1533-position model. The record is from RNAcentral.
CCUACGGGAGGCUGCAGUGAGGAAUAUUGGUCAAUGGACGAGAGUCUGAACCAGCCAAGUAGCGUGAAGGAUGACUGCCCUAUGGGUUGUAAACUUCUUUUAUAUGGGAAUAAAAUGUUCCACGUGUGGGAUUUUGUAUGUACCAUAUGAAUAAGGAUCGGCUAACUCCGUGCCAGCAGCCGCGGUAAUACGGAGGAUCCGAGCGUUAUCCGGAUUUAUUGGGUUUAAAGGGAGCGUAGGUGGAUUGUUAAGUCAGUUGUGAAAGUUUGCGGCUCAACCGUAAAAUUGCAGUUGAAACUGGAAGUCUUGAGUACAGAAGAGGUGGGCGGAAUUCGUGGUGUAGCGGUGAAAUGCUUAGAUAUCACGAAGAACUCCGAUUGCGAAGGCAGCUCACUGGACUGCAACUGACACUGAGGCUCGAAAGUGUGGGUAUCAAACAGGAUUAGAUACCCGAGUAGUC